UAAGUGAAACGAGAAGACCACGAGUUAUGAUCCAGAGUACCACGAGACACGUGAAACCUUGUGGGAAGCAGGGAGGACCACCUCCCAAGGCUAAAUACUACCUGAUGACCGAUAGUGAAGCAGUACCGUGAGGGAAAGGUGAAAAGAACCCCGGGAGGGGAGUGAAAUAGAACCUGAAACCGUGUGCCUACAACCGCUCAGAGCCCCUUAUGAGGGUGAUGAGGUGCUUUUUGUAGAACGAGCCAACGAGUUACGGUAUGUAGCAAGGUUAAGUACUUAAGGUACGGAGCCGAAGGGAAACCGAGUCUGAAUAGGGCGACUAGUUGCAUGCCGUAGACCCGAAACCGGGUGACCUAUCCAUGGCCAGGUUGAAGCGAGGGUAAAACCUCGUGGAGGACCGAACCACGUUGCUGUUGAAAAAGCAUGGGAUGAGCUGUGGAUAGCGGAGAAAUUCCAAUCGAACCCGGAGAUAGCUGGUUCUCUCCGAAAUAGCUUUAGGGCUAGCGUCGAGUAUGAGUAGUGGAGGUAGAGCACUGAAUGGGCUAGGGGGCAUAGCGCUUACCGAACCUUAUCAAACUCCGAAUGCCACAUACUUUGAGCUCGGCAGUCAGACUACGAAUGAUAAGAUCCGUGGUCAAAAGGGAAACAGCCCAGAUCGUCAGCUAAGGUCCCAAAGUGUAAGUUAAGUGGGAAAGGAUGUGAGAUUUCUAAGACAACUAGGAUGUUGGCUUAGAAGCAGCCAUUCAUUAAAAGAGUGCGUAAUAGCUCACUAGUCGAGAGAUCUUGCGCCGAAAAUGUAACGGGGCUAAACUUACC
RNAcentral lists this ribosomal RNA (816 nucleotides) under Clostridium perfringens. Its description in RNAcentral is "partial 23S ribosomal RNA". It matches the Rfam family "Bacterial large subunit ribosomal RNA", at positions 376 to 1192 of the family's 2925-position model. Lineage: Bacteria; Bacillati; Bacillota; Clostridia; Eubacteriales; Clostridiaceae. The record is from RNAcentral.